RNAcentral lists this long non-coding RNA (1366 nucleotides) under Parus major (Great Tit). RNAcentral describes it as "lncRNA (ENSPMJG00000000217.1)". The record is from RNAcentral. Lineage: Eukaryota; Metazoa; Chordata; Aves; Passeriformes; Paridae.
CCUGCCCAAAAUCCUCUUUGUGACACUUGGGGUGGGGACAGUUCCCAUUUUCCCUCCCCAAAUCCCCAUUUUCCCACCCCAAAUCCCCAUUUUCCCCUCGGGAAGGUGCUCAGCACCCUCGCGACUCAUCCUGCACCCUCGGGACUCAUCCUGCACCCUCGGGAUGGUGCUCAGAACACUCGAGACUCAUCCUGCACCUUCGGGACUUAUCCUGCAUAUUUGGGAUGGUGCUGAGCAUCCUCGGGACUCAACCUGCACUGUCAGGACUCAUCCUGCACCCUCGGGAUGCUGCUGAGCACCCUCGGGACUCAUCCUGCACCCUCGGGACUCAUCCUGCACCCUCGGGACUCAUCCUGCACCCUCGGGACUCACCCUACACCCUCGGGACUCACCCUACACCCUCAGGAUGGUGCUGAGCACCCUCGGAACUCAUCCUUCACCCUCGGGACUCAUCAUUCACCCUCGCGACUCAUCCUGCACCCUCGGGACGGUGCUCAGCACCCUCGGGACGGUGCUCAGCACCUUAGGGAUGGUGCUCAGCACCCUCUGGACUUAUCCUGCACCAUUGGGAUGGUGCUGAGCACCCUCGGGACAGUGCUCAGCACCCUCGGGAUGGUGCUCCUCACCGUUGGGACUCAUCCUGCACCCUCGAAACGGUGCUCAGCACCUUCGGCACUCAUCCUGCACCUUCGGGACUCAUUCUGUGACAGUGACAGUGCCACCCCCUGUCCCCAGGUGACGUUUGACAACCUCGCCCACAGCGGGCGAGUGAGGAUCUGCCUGGACACCCUCGUGGCCAUCUGGGAGUGCCACCACCCCUCGCUGCCUGGCACAGGUGACAGCGGGUGACAAUGGGUGACAAUGGGUGACAGUGGGCUGUGUGGGUGUCCCCUGGGAGUGCCACCACCCUGCCAUGCCUGGCAGAGGUGACACCAUGGUGGCACCUGGCCCCAAAGGUGACCCUGGAUGUCCCCAGGCCUUGGGAAGUGACCCCAGGUGUCCCGGAGGGUGACCCCAGGUGUCCCCAAAGGUGACCCCUAGUGUCCCCAAGGGUGACCCCAGAUGUCCCCAAAGGUGACCCCUAGUGUCCCCGAGGGUGUCCCCAGGCGUCCCUGAGGGUGACCCCGGGUAUCCCUGAGGAUGUCCCCAGGUGUCCCCAAAGGUGUCCCCAGGUAUCCCCAAAGGUGUCCCCAGGUGUCCCUGAGGAUGUCUCCAGGUGUCCCCAAAGGUGACCCCGGGUGUCCCAAAGGUGUCCCCGAGGGUGUCCCCGGGUGUCCCUGAGGGUGACCCCGGCUGUCCCCGAGGUGACCCCGGCUGUCCCCGUCCCCACAGGUGGACGCCUGGCGUUUGACGUGUUGGUGACAGC